AAUAUCCGGAACACAAGGUU
RNAcentral lists this small nuclear RNA (20 nucleotides) under Arabidopsis thaliana (thale cress). Its description in RNAcentral is "snRNA_17503". The record is from RNAcentral. Lineage: Eukaryota; Viridiplantae; Streptophyta; Magnoliopsida; Brassicales; Brassicaceae.